AAAAACGCGUUAAAGCCUCCCACUAUUAACCCAACCUAAUAUCAAACACCCUAACCACCCCUUAAUUACUAUUAGACGACUUCAUUAAUUCAAAUGGAAGACAUUAUGCUUGAACUAGUAACAAGAACGUGUAGUUCUCCUAAAUAUAAGUAUAGGCCGCAAUGAACAAACCAACGGCAAUUAACAUCAAUAAACCUGUUACAGUAACCCUCAAGAAAACCCUGUAAACCUAGACGUUAAUCUCACACAAGAAUAUUACAGGAAAGAUUAAAAGGUGGAGAAGGAACUCGGCAAACAAUAACCCCGCCUGUUUACCAAAAACAUCGCCUCUUGUUUAGAUAUAAGAGGUCCAGCCUGCCCAGUGACUCUUCAACGGCCACGGUAUCCUAACCGUGCUAAGGUAGCGCAAUUACUUGUCCUUUAAAUGGGGACCUGAAUGAAUGGCAUCACGAGGGUUGCACUGUCUCCUCCCCCCAAUCAGUGAAACUGACCUCCCUGUGAAAAGGCAGGGAUUAAACUAUUAGACGAGAAGACCCCAUGGAGCUUUAGACUUUAAGCAAGUUAGACAACCAGUCCAAAACCCAUGUCUCUAAAGUCUUCGGCUGGGGCGACCAUGGAGUAAAAAUUAACCUCCACGCCGAACGGGUGACUCCUUAUCCAUGAGCGACAUCUCUAAGAAACAGAAUACUGACAACCACUGAUCCGGACUCCGAUCAACGAACCAAGUUACCCUGGGGAUAACAGCGCUAUCUGCCUCAAGAGUUCAUAUCGACAGGCGGGUUUACGACCUCGAUGUUGGAUCGGGGUGUCCUAGUGGUGCAGCCGCUACACAAGGUUCGUUUGU
Molecule: ribosomal RNA, 844 nt
Filed under: Cornufer sulcatus
Lineage: Eukaryota; Metazoa; Chordata; Amphibia; Anura; Ceratobatrachidae
Description: partial 16S ribosomal RNA
Rfam family: Bacterial large subunit ribosomal RNA
Source: RNAcentral